CCUCACUCUCCAGGUGCCCUUUGCACCCAACAGUGCGUGUGAGGAACGAACUGCUGUUUGAGCCUCCCCUGAGAUUGUGCGUAGCCUCCAUGUAAAUGUAAUAGCCUCCAUGGCUUAAUUGGCUAUCAAGCGAAUUUUCCCAGAUGAAAGCAAUGUUAGGUUAGGGGACGACGGUGCAGCCACGCAGCCUUUACCAGCAGCGUGCUGCAGACGAAGGCAGUCAAGGUGUGGAGGUGAUCACGCAGCCACUCAGGAUGGGAUCUCUGAAUCAAUAGGAAGCAUAAAUGAGAGAUGUCAGGGGAGGAUUGAAGGAUGCUGAUGGAGGUGGGAAGGCCUGAAGUGGCCCGCCUGUGCUAGACUGAAAGUGAUUCAGGCCCCACCCAAAUGCAGGAGCAGUGGAGCCUAAAUCCUUCACAACUGCACAUUAGAGGAGAGAGGAUCUGACCAUCAUCCUGCAACUAGAGUUACCGUUAAUCAAGGUGCAGCUCAGUUGCCAUGAUGCUCCUUGAGUCAAUGAGCUCUUUGGUCUGCUCUUCUGCUCAAGCAGAAAAUGAUCUGCGCUUCACCCUUGAGAAGCUGACGAGAACCACAGGCUUCUUCAGGCAGGUGGUGGAACAUGGGUGUAUCCUGCAGGUGCUCACAGUAUCUCCCUUUGCUCAGGUGACGGAGGCUUGGGGUUUUCCAGCUCUUGACCUAAAAUUCCUGAAUGAUUGUUUUCAAAUUUCUUAAUGAAUAAUAGGAUGAACUUGCCACCCCUGUCAGGGGGGAAUGGGGUUCCUGAGAGCUGAGAGGCCAGGAUCCAGAUCCUGAGCCUCUUCACCAAGCAGAUGCUGUAGAGCAAAGGCAGCAACUAUCUAUCUAUCUAUCUAUCUAUCUAUCUAUCUAUCUAUCUAUCUAUCUAAUUUCCCCUUCCCUUUAAGGAAAUCCUCAGGACUAGGUGAGAUCUUAGAUCUAGUGGAGAAUCUGAGUUGCUCCAAGCAAAACCUCAGGAUCCUGCAAUCUGAAAAGGUAGAACCAAGGCAAAUGUGGGCAGCAAUACCCAGAAGUUGGGUACUGAGCCUGUUAGGGAGCAUUUUUUUCAGGGGAGUGAAGUAAAUAAUGAGGUGUAGAGAGCAGCGAGAAUGAGAAGCCAAAUCACAGACUGCAAAAUCACACAGCAUCUGUCCUUUCUCCCUGGUCAGAGAGAGUAUGAUGGGUAGUCUCCAAUAUAGAAAGCCCAUUGUGUCCUUCAGCUCCCCCAUACAGUCGCAGAACAGGCCUGAUUCUGAAAUUUCUGUUCUCUUUAGGCUCUAGCCUGAUUUUCUGGCUCAUAAGGCCAAAGGGAGCUGGAAAGGUCCCCACGGCAGGACUCAUGGUGGAGAGAGAAUGGUCUAGAGGAUUCAGGCCUCUGCACACUGUGUCUGGGUCCCUCCUUAAACAAUGAUAAAGACAAGUAAAGAGCUUGAAGCAGCCUGGAGUCCAGCCAGAAACCUUUAACUGAGCUUUAAAGGAGAUGGUCACAACACUUUUCAGAAUACUGGCAAAGGCCUCCUGUGGCCAGGUUUGUCCUGGGAUGAGCAAAAUUUAAUGUUAACCUGCUGUAUCUUUGCUUUUAAUAUAUCUGCUUGCCCAUCACAAUGACGUUAUGGUUAAUUUCACCAAUUUGGUAACCUGCCUCAUGGGAAGUACGAAAGUAAGCAAGGGCCAGGUGUGGUGACUCACGCCUGUAAUCCCAGUACUUUGGGUGGCUGAGGCAGGUGGAUUGCUUGAGCCCAGGAGUUCAAGACCAACCUGGGCACCAUGACAAAACCCCGUCUCUAAAAAAUAUAUAAAAAUUAACCAGGGGUGGCAGUGCAUGGCUGUAAUCCCAGCUACUUGGAGGCUGAGGUGGGAGAAUCUCUUGAGCCUGGGAGGCAGAGGUUGCAGUGAGCUGAGAUCACACCACUGCAUUCCAGCCUGGGCAACGAAGUGAGACCCUGUCUCAAAAAAAAAAAAAAAAAAAAGAGAAAGACAGUGAGGGUGUCCUGUGAAUCAAAUCUUUGAAUGGAUGUUUUCUUAACUAACCAAGACGUCUGUAAGAAUUCUGUCUUUGAUUCCACAAUAAAGUGGUGUGAAAUUAGUAUAAGCAAAUGUUUACAUGUCUCAUUUAAUCUUCACAACAAUCCUAUGAGGCAAGUAGAAUUGUUAUCCUCAUUUUCUGAGUGAUGAAACUGAGGCUCAGGGGAGGGUGUGACCUUGCCAAGUCCCCACAACUGGAAACCACAGAACAAAAUGACCUGAGUCACACAUGCUAGGAAAAACUCAUUGUGCCUCCCCAUGGAGCUUCACAAUGGCUAUUUCUGUUGCAAUAGAGGAUGAAGCAGGUGGUCUUUCCAAUCAAGAGCUGUUAAGAAAGCCUCCAGUUCUCCCCGGGGAAUCUCAGAAUCAGACUGAAGAUUCGGAAGAGCCUUUGCUGACCACUGAGUCAAACUCCCCAGAAUCCUUUUAUAGUACCGCUGACCAGUGAGUGAUCAUCAAACCUCCAAAGACUUCGGUAAUUUGCAGAUUCUAGGGAAAAUUCCAUGAGUUAACAGAGGUGAAAUUUGAAAGUUCCAUAGAGAAAUUCUGGAACUUGAAAUUAUCAUAGGAAGAUUAUUAUGCAAUUUUGUUCCUGUUAGUAGUCUUUAAUAAAGAGACUUCAGGUGAACAUUGGGUUGAACCAAGAUUACUUUCUUCCAUUGUCACCAUUCUGAUUUCAGAUUGUUCCUUGCUGGUUUAUAUACUCUUCAAUUCCAUUUUGUACCAGAUAGAGGCAGAGUAGAAGGAAAAACUGAACAACAAACCACGUUUGUGCCAGCUCGAGGGAUAAACACCCUCUAAGGAGCAUCUCAAGCUUUCCACAAGAUUUCAACAGGGCCACCCCAGUUCACAGGCAGGUAGUGUGUCUUCAAUGUGUGGCCAAUCGCUGUUGGACAAACAGGAGGUGUUUUCCCCAGGAUACCCUGCACUAGACUCGGCAUCUUUUCAGUCUUCUUCCUAUUCUGUCUCCUUCCCAGCACACUGACACUGGAAGCACACUAUGUCAUCACAUGAGCAAUUCACAGGUGCCAUGAAAUACCUCACAAAUGUACAGUACUUUAACUGUUGACCCCAUGUAUUAGGUAAGAAAGAUAUUAUUAUUUACAUUUAUCUAUUGGAACUUGGGGGCACAGAGUGUUUAAAUUACCUGCCCAAGGGCACACAAGUCACUCACCUCUUGUGUUUCAAUUAUACAAUGGCUUAGUGAUUCUUUCUUUCAGACGAUUGUUGUGAGGAGUGAAUGGAAUUAAAUCAAGUCUAUGUGGAAAGGGCCUGGAGCAUGAGUUCUCAAUGCAGGGUGACUACUGUCAGCACCAACUAGUUAUGAUAAUGACCAUGAUGAUGACGGGGAAAUAAUAACACCUUGAAGUAAUAAUAAUGAAGUUAGAACGAUACCCCCAAAUGUAUGAAAAUUACAUCUAUAAAAUGAGUUAGUUUAUAAAUCGUGAGAAAAUGGGCAUCCUCAGGUAUUGCAGGUAGAAACACACAAUGGAAUAACUCUUGUCAGCAAGCUAAUCCAUUUCCAGGAAUUAAUUUUUUUUUUUUUUUUUGAGACAGUCUUGCUCUGUCACCCAGGUUGGAGUGCAAUGGUAUGAUCUUGGUUCACUGCAACCUCCGCCUCCCAGGUUCAAGUGAUUCCCCUGCCUCAGCCCCCCAUUAGCUGGGACUACAGGCGCACACCACCAUGCCCAGCUAAUUUUUGUAUUUUGGGUAGAGACGGGGUUUCACUAUGUUGACCAGGAUGGUCUUGAUCUCUUGACCUCGUGUUCUGCCAGCCUCGGCCUCCCAAAGUGCUGGAAUUACAGGCAUGAUCCACCACCCCAAGUCCAGAAUUUCCUAACAAGUUCCCAAGAGAUGAAGGUGCUACUGGUCAGUGACCCCCUGCUCAAAACCACUGCCCUAGGAGAUGGGGGCUCUUCUAUGCCCCAUUUUUACAGGUAAGGCUGGUCAUGGAAGUGGGAGAUACAAAAUAAAGGGUGGGGUCACGUUCCUUUCUAAAAACCUAAAUGCAUGUCAGGCAAGUAGGGCUUAGAAAAGAAUUUACCCUCCUUCACCUCUGUCACCUCAUCCCUCCUUCCAACCUCCAUCACUUGUUUGGCAAACUGGACUCUGGGAGCCAGAAGGCACCAGAAAAAGUGGAAUGUGAGCCUGCAGGCCAUCAAGGUGAAGCCCUGAGGAUCCCCCGGGGCCAGUCCCUCCACUUUGAUGCGGAUAAGCCUCAGCUAGUGUCAAGUUGAAAGGAGAAAAAGACAGGUGAGUCACUGUUAAAGAAACAGGUUCACAUAUGUAGGUCUAGGAGCACUGCAAGUAGUUCUUACAGUGGGAGAGAGCAAUUGUGCUCAACUCUGAAUCCAGCACAAGGAAGUGGGAAUUAUAGUCAAGGAGGAGGAUGGGGGUUAGCAGAUAGGAAAUGACUACGAGGGAACAUCAAGGGUAAGGGAGGAUUCUGGCUAAACUGACCUAACGAGAUUCUCGCUGAGCACAGGCCAAGGUUAUCUGACAUCAGCUGCGGGAUGGUGGGGGAUGAGGACCCUGAUCAGUAUAUGGUGGACGGGGAUUCCUGCCAGCUAAACUGACUUAGCAGGGUAAUUUGCUAAAACUGAAUUUUACAAAAAGUGCACAGAUGCGUUUAUCAGAAGGUUCAGAAGCCUGACUAAUGUAUGGUCAAGCAAACAAUUUCUGUCACCACACAGAAUGCAUGCUCCAGGGACCAUACUGGGCCUCAGCAUCUUCCUACCCCACCAGCUUCCAGGAGGGCAUUUUGCCCUGGGCCUCCUGGGUGUUUCCUUGCCUGAUCAUUUCUAGGAGACAAGAGACUUGCACUUUAUCACCUAGGAUAAAUUCAGUGUCAGAUUUUUAAGCCUAAAUCGGAUGACAGUGCUUCAGUGACAAUCUCAGUUAUUUAAAAAGGGAGGUUCAUUCAUUCACCAGUUCUAAAGGCGCACAUAAGACAUUCUUUUUUUUUUUUUUUUUU
Pan troglodytes (chimpanzee) is the source of this 5011-nucleotide long non-coding RNA. RefSeq lists it as uncharacterized. The transcript is spliced from 3 exons. The record is from RefSeq and is a predicted model, not a curated record. NCBI's taxonomy places the organism in Eukaryota, Metazoa, Chordata, Mammalia, Primates, Hominidae.